This 596-nucleotide ribosomal RNA is filed under the name Gammaproteobacteria bacterium. RNAcentral describes it as "bacterial SSU rRNA". It matches the Rfam family "Bacterial small subunit ribosomal RNA", at positions 1 to 577 of the family's 1533-position model. The record is from RNAcentral. Lineage: Bacteria; Pseudomonadati; Pseudomonadota; Gammaproteobacteria.
GAACUGAAGAGUUUGAUCAUGGCUCAGAUUGAACGUUGGCGGCAGGCCUAACACAUGCAAGUCGAACGAGAAAGCGCCUUCGGGCGCGAGUAAAGUGGCGGACGGGUGAGUAACGCGUAGGAAUCUACCCAGCGGUGGGGGACAACUCGGGGAAACUCGAGCUAAUACCGCAUGACAUCCCAAGUCUUCGGAGGCGGGAUCAAAGGGGGCCUCUCCUUGGAAGCUCCCGCCGUUGGAGGAGCCUGCGUUGGAUUAGCUUGUUGGUGGGGUAACGGCCCACCAAGGCCACGAUCCAUAGCUGGUCUGAGAGGAUGAUCAGCCACACUGGAACUGAGACACGGUCCAGACUCCUACGGGAGGCAGCAGUGGGGAAUCUUGGGCAAUGGGCGCAAGCCUGACCCAGCCAUGCCGCGUGUGCGAAGAAGGCUUUAGGGUUGUAAAGCACUUUCAGUGGUGAAGAAAAGCCCGGGGCUAAUACCUCCGAGUCUUGACGUUAGCCACAGAAGAAGCACCGGCUAACUCCGUGCCAGCAGCCGCGGUAAUACGGAGGGUGCGAACGUUAAUCGGAAUUACUGGGCGUAAAGCGCGCGUAGGCG